This is a non-coding RNA of Camelina sativa (false flax), 339 nucleotides long. The record is from RefSeq and is a predicted model, not a curated record. NCBI's taxonomy places the organism in Eukaryota, Viridiplantae, Streptophyta, Magnoliopsida, Brassicales, Brassicaceae.
UAAUAAGCCGCUUAAGUGUUUUCAAGUCUUGUAUUGCAUUCAUCAGGAACAAGAGAACACACGAUGUCAAAGAAACGAGGGCUUUCGUUGGAGGAGAAGCGGGAGAAGAUGCUUCAGAUAUUCUAUGAGUCUCAAGACUUCUUCCUGCUUAAGGAACUUGAGAAGAUGGGGCCGAAGAGAGGUGUUAGUCAUUCCUUUUAGCCAUACAGAACUUUUUUGUCGACUUCCUUCAAGAUUGCUGAUGAGCUUGUUUUUGUGCUAUGCUUCGAGAAGAAAUCUUAGCUCAAGCGGGUUACACGGACCAAUAGCCUUCGCAUUUAGAAAUCUCUCUCUUCUUGA